CUAGCAUAUCAAUAAGCGGAGGAAAAGAAACCAACAGGGAUUGCCCCAGUAACGGCGAGUGAAGCGGCAAAAGCUCAAAUUUGAAAUCUGGCGCCUCCGGUGUCCGAGUUGUAAUUUGGAGAGGCGUCUUCUGGAGUGGCCCAGCCUAUCUUCCUUGGAACAGGAGGUCACAGAGGGUGAGAAUCCCGUUCUCGGCUGGUCGCCACCUCCUGCAUGUAGUGUCUUCUACGAGUCGAGUUGUUUGGGAAUGCAGCUCAAAAUGGGUGGUAAAUUUCAUCUAAAGCUAAAUACUGGCGAGAGACCGAUAGCGCACAAGUAGAGUGAUCGAAAGAUGAAAAGCACUUUGAAAAUAGAGUCAAAAAGUACGUGAAAUUGUUGAAAGGGAAGCGCUUGAGACCAGACUCGGCCUUGGACAAACAGCCUCUCCUUCUGGAGUGGCGCACUUGUACACGGUCGGGCCAGCAUCAGUUGGGGUGGUGGGACAAAGGUCCGGGGAAUGUGGCUCCCCUCGGGGAGUGUUAGAGCCCCGGACGCAAUGCCGCCAACACCGACUGAGGACCGCGCUUCGGCUAGGAUGCUGGCGUAAUGGUCUUCAGCGACCCGUCUUGAAACACGGACCAAGGAGUCUAACAUCUAUGCGAGUGUCUGGGCUUCAAACCCUCACGCGUAAUGAAAGUGAACGGGGAUGGGAACCCCGCAAGGGGCGCACCAUCGACCGAUCCUGAUGUAUUCGGAUGGAUUUGAGUAGGAGCAUAGCUGUUGGGACCCGAAAGAUGGUGAACUAUGCCUGAAUAGGGUGAAGCCAGAGGAAACUCUGGUGGAGGCUCGCAGCGGUUCUGACGUGCAAAUCGAUCGUCAAAUUUGGGUAUAGGGGCGAAAGACUAAUCGAACCAUCUAGUAGCUGGUUCCUGCCGAU
This 916-nucleotide ribosomal RNA is filed under the name Geomorium furciae. Its description in RNAcentral is "partial large subunit ribosomal RNA". It matches the Rfam family "Eukaryotic large subunit ribosomal RNA", at positions 34 to 965 of the family's 3401-position model. The record is from RNAcentral. Lineage: Eukaryota; Fungi; Ascomycota; Pezizomycetes; Pezizales; Geomoriaceae.